This is a long non-coding RNA of Dromaius novaehollandiae (emu), 1179 nucleotides long. RefSeq lists it as uncharacterized. NCBI's taxonomy places the organism in Eukaryota, Metazoa, Chordata, Aves, Casuariiformes, Dromaiidae. The record is from RefSeq and is a predicted model, not a curated record. The transcript is spliced from 2 exons.
CGGCGCGGGUGGGCGGGGUGGAGGAAGGGAGCUGCGUGGGCCCCGCGUUUCCCCGCCCUCUGCGGCUUGACGCGCCGUCGUGCCGGCGCGCGGGGGCCGGGCUGCGGCCUCGCGCCGCGGGCGGCUGCGGUGUAGCGGCAAGGAGUCCCGCCGGGUCGGGCCUCGCCUCGGGCGGCGGCGGCAGCUCUGCUCCUCUGCGGGUGGCCGGGAGCGCUACGGGAGCCUCUCGGUGCUCUCGCCCCGGCGCCGCAGGAACCGGCCGCGGUUCUAAGUAACCCCCUCAAAACGAGGGCGCUUGGCCCUUCAGACGGCUUCCUAGUAGUGACUGUGGGCCUGCUUUAAAAGACAGAGCUUUUCCCUUCAGAUGUAGAAUCUCCUGUCUCAUAGUAAACCCCUUUUCUUUUUUUUGAAGUCUGGCUUUGAUAUUAGGUAAUCUCAGAUAACAGACUUGACAUAGUGCCCUCAAUAUUCAAAUUCUUUGUAUACCUUUAAUUAGCUUUCACAGCCUACAGCAGUGGCAGUUGUGUGAACUAAAAAAAAAAAAUCUUUUUGAUAUUUUUAUUGUUUCUCAGGAGGGGGGAAGAUGAGAGAAAUUUUAAACUGCAUCUCUAUUGGAAACAUUGUUAAUAGACUAAAGCUGUUCUAGUGGAAACAGCAUCUAGAUUCUGUUCUGGUUGUUCUUUUCAACAGAAAGAGGAAGAAUGGUCCACAGUUUGAUAUCUUGUUUUAUUUCUCUUUCAUCAGCAUUUGUCAUCUUGAGUCUUAAAUAGAGCUGUCGCAGUGAGUACUUGUGGAAUUUUGCUGUCACAUGGACAGGAUUCCACUUGCAUUCAGCAGCUGCUACAAUUUUACUGCCUCUUGCUGGAGGUCACCAAACCCAGAGAAGAGCUGGCAUCUCCCCAUCUACUUCACAGCAAAGUAUGACAUCUUAGUUCAACCUCCCCCCACCCCAAUAUUUUAAACUAAGAGACUGAAUUCGCAUUGAAGCAGCUGACAAAUGAGCACAUCCUGUUCUGCUGAGCCAGCUAUAGCAGUGCUUACUUCUGGCAGAAGAGUAAUACAUGUAGCUGGAGUCAAGUGUCUUACACUCAUAGUAAGGUUUUCUGUAUUUGUUAAAACUUGAACUGUGAUUUUGCUAUGAAAAAAAUUAAAACAUCAUAAAUUCUCGUUUAUAAUAUA